CCACACCAAACUUGCUCGCUGCUUGGCUUUGCGCCGGGCAGCUGAUUCUUGGUGCAGCCACUAGGCUGAGGAGCACACUCAACUCCCAACCAUUUCCGGCCUGCACCAUGUCUCGGAAGUCGGAAUAGAAGAGAAAGAAACUAUGCUGUUGACUUAAUUAUGUGAUUGCAUUGAUUGAAUAUAAGAAUGAUCUGCAUUGAUC
Panicum virgatum (switchgrass) is the source of this 202-nucleotide long non-coding RNA. RefSeq lists it as uncharacterized. NCBI's taxonomy places the organism in Eukaryota, Viridiplantae, Streptophyta, Magnoliopsida, Poales, Poaceae. The record is from RefSeq and is a predicted model, not a curated record. The transcript has 3 exons.